Molecule: long non-coding RNA, 650 nt
Filed under: Helianthus annuus (common sunflower)
Lineage: Eukaryota; Viridiplantae; Streptophyta; Magnoliopsida; Asterales; Asteraceae
Description: hypothetical non coding rna
Source: RNAcentral
GAGGUUUACUCAAAAUGAAAUUAUAGCUCUGGUAUUGUUGAAGAUAAAGUGAAGAAGAAGAAGUGCUCAAAUGGCAGAGUUUUGAAGGAGAAGAAUGUCUGUGUGGAGAAAGAACAUCGACUGAGAUGUUACUCAAGCCUCAAGGAGUUGCUCUUGGCAUGUCCUCUAUUAAAGUUGAAAAGCAGUGGCAGAUGGACUCCAAAUGAUGAAAGGCAAAGUAAACGAAAUGUUAGCAGAAUUGACGCUUUCAGUUCUCUCUUCAUCUACACGGGCCCUCAAUUUUUUAGGUAAUUAAAUAGUUUUGAAUCAAGAACACGAUCAGGGGUGCGUCGUUUCGAUUGUUAAUCGAAUCAAGAGAAGAAGAACCCUAACUGAUUAUUCAUAGAUUGCAAAUUUUGAAGACGCAAAAGAACCAGGUUGCGAUAUGAAUUUGCAAGAGGAUGGGAUUAUGGGGUUUCGAAGAAGGAAACGGAGAGGAAAUGAGGAUGACUUCUGGUUGUGGUAAACUAAACUAGAAUUUACUCUUGUUAUGCUACUACUUACUAGUACAUAUGUAGAUGAAACUUUUGUUAUAUUAUGAAAUUGAUUUUUUUGUCAUCAAUGCACUGCAGUGUCUACAUGUUUGCGACAGUUAUUAAAGAAUUGCUCAU